RNAcentral lists this ribosomal RNA (206 nucleotides) under uncultured bacterium. RNAcentral's name for it is "partial 16S ribosomal RNA". It matches the Rfam family "Bacterial small subunit ribosomal RNA", at positions 568 to 774 of the family's 1533-position model. The record is from RNAcentral.
UGCGUAGGUGGUUGUUUAAGUCUGUCGUGAAAGCCCUGGGCUCAACCUGGGAAUUGCGAUGGAAACUGGGCGACUAGAGUGUGGCAGAGGGUAGUGGAAUUCCUGGUGUAGCAGUGAAAUGCGUAGAGAUCAGGAGGAACAUCCGUGGCGAAGGCGACUGCCUGGGCCAACACUGACACUGAGGCACGAAAGCGUGGGAGCAAACA